RNAcentral lists this long non-coding RNA (448 nucleotides) under Chinchilla lanigera (long-tailed chinchilla). RNAcentral describes it as "lncRNA (ENSCLAG00000028595.1)". The record is from RNAcentral. Lineage: Eukaryota; Metazoa; Chordata; Mammalia; Rodentia; Chinchillidae.
AUGAAUGAAAAGUCCGGAGCCGGAGCGCACUGGGCCAGAGCAGCGGCGGAGGCCGAUCGGGGAGCUGGGAAGGCGAGACCCGCACCGCCCAGCUCGGCCUGGCUCAGUGGAGGCAGACAACUGGGAGAGCUUUUCCGUCCCUGCGUCUGCCGAGCGCGGGCGCCCGGAACGCAGGUCUGCGGUGCUCCACGGGCUGUAGCCGCGCGGAGGACGGCGCCAAGGGUGGCUCUCACUUUCUCACCUGAGCUGGGGCGGGUGGGUGCCCCACCACCCUCCCGCCCUUUUUCCUUCCCUGUGGAUGACUGAGCCGCGUCCAGCACCACGGACAGCGCCCGCGGACAUUCUACAACCUUGUUCUUGUCUUGGGAAGUCCUUCCUAUCUAACCAAGACCUAUACUACUGUAGCACCAGUUCUUUGACUUGUAGCUUGACAUUGCUGAGUGGAGAG